RNAcentral lists this ribosomal RNA (403 nucleotides) under uncultured bacterium. Its description in RNAcentral is "partial 16S ribosomal RNA". It matches the Rfam family "Bacterial small subunit ribosomal RNA", at positions 338 to 795 of the family's 1533-position model. The record is from RNAcentral.
CCUACGGGAGGCAGCAGUGGGGAAUAUUGCACAAUGGGCGAAAGCCUGAUGCAGCAACGCCGCGUGAAGGAAGACGGUCCUCGGAUUGUAAACUUCUAUCAAUAGGGAAGCAAGAUAUGACGGUACUUAAAUAAGAAGCCCUGGCUAACUACGUGCCAGCAGCUGCGGUAAUCCGUAAGGGGCGAGCGUUAUCCGGAAUUAAUGGGUGUAAAGGGAGAGUAGGCGGCAAGGUAGGCGAUACGUGAAAGCUGGAGUGCGGUAGAGGUAAAGGGAAUUCCUGGUGUAGCGGUGAAAUGCUUAGAUAUCAGGAGGAACACCAGUGGCGAAGGCAGCUUACUGGACUGUAACUGACGUUGAGGCUCGAAAGCGUGGGGAGCGAACAGGAUUAGAUACCCUUGUAGUC